UUGUAAUUUGGAGAGGAUGCUUUUGGCGCGGCGCCGUCCGAGUUCCUUGGAACAGGACGCCACAGAGGGUGAGAGCCCCGUACGGACGGACGCCUAGCCUCUACAAAGCUCCUUCGACGAGUCGAGUAGUUUGGGAAUGCUGCUCAAAAUGGGAGGUAAAUUUCUUCUAAAGCUAAAUACCGGCCAGAGACCGAUAGCGCACAAGUAGAGUGAUCGAAAGAUGAAAAGCACUUUGAAAAGAGGGUUAAAAAGUACGUGAAAUUGUUGAAAGGGAAGCGCCUGUGACCAGACUUGCGCCCCGUGGACCACCCGGCGUUCUCGCCGGUGCACUCCGCGGGGCGCAGGCCAGCAUCGGUUCUCCCAGGGGGACAAAGGCCGCGGGAACGUAGCUCCUUCGGGAGUGUUAUAGCCCGCGGCGGCAUGCCCCUGGGGGGACCGAGGACCGCGCUUCGGCAAGGAUGCUGGCGUAAUGGUCACCAGCGACCCGUCUUGAAACACGGACCAAGGAGUCAAGCAUUGGGGCGAGUGUAUGGGUGCCAAACCCGCACGCGAAAUGAAAGUAAACGCAGGUGAGAGCUUCGGCGCAUCAUCGACCGAUCCUGAUGUCUUCGGAUGGAUUUGAGUAAGAGCCUUACCGCUUGGACCCGAAAGAUGGUGAACUAUGCCUGAAUAGGGUGAAGCCAGAGGAAACUCUGGUGGA
This is a ribosomal RNA of 700 nucleotides. It matches the Rfam family "Eukaryotic large subunit ribosomal RNA", at positions 143 to 871 of the family's 3401-position model.